AGGACUGAAGAGAAAAUUAUCCCCAGCACUCAUGCAUGCUGUCCACUCAGUACCAAAAUGGGACAAACGCAAAAACCAUGGGGUCAAAUUGAAAACGCAAAAGAAAGAGCAAAGGGGGCGAAUUGAAAGCAAGUAGCAAAGUGGAAGGACCCGCAGCACAAAUAACUCAUAAGGCGUGAAAACACGCGGGUCAUGGCCUCCAUCUGGUCGGGUCGCGCGGGUCAUGGCCUAAACGGUGCCGUUUUGAGGCCAUUGACAUUGGCCUAAAACGACGUCGUCUGAUCAACGUACAAAAGCAAGAAGAAAGAAAAAAAAAGAAAAAUCAUUCUUUUAUCUCUUAAAAAAAAAUCAAAACACCCCCAAAUUCUCUUAAAACAAGUUUCAGAACCCCUUUUUUCUUCAAAACUUUCCAACCUCUCCUCCCUCUCAGUUGACUCGUGGGCUUCACCGAUGCCAAACGCGCCUCCACUCCGUCACGGUUCUGACCAGAUCCACAAGGAUCCGUCGACCAAGUCGUCCCCAAAAAAAGGUACGGAGGCACUAGAUGGCGUGUACGGAAGUGGUACGGUCGUGUCGAUGUGGAGAUGCAGACGAGGGCUGCUGCGAGGCUGUUGCGGCUCAAUAGGGUGACCUAGGGUUCCUGUUAGUGUUUUAAUUUUGGGCCAUUUGAGCCUUGUAUUUCUGGGCUGGUGCUUGGGUUGUAAUUAGGUUAAUUUGGGCCUUUUUGAUGUCUAAAUGGACUUGGACUGGAUUAUUUGGUUUUAUUUAUUUUAGCUUUAUUAUUUAUUUUUUGUUUGUAACGGGCCGGGAAAAUUUGGCCCACGACACCUUUUAUUUUAGUACUCUACUUUGUAGGCCAGAAAAUAACAAGAACAAAUAAACUGAUUUAAGUAA
This is a long non-coding RNA of Gossypium arboreum, 894 nucleotides long. RefSeq lists it as uncharacterized. The transcript has 2 exons. The record is from RefSeq and is a predicted model, not a curated record. NCBI's taxonomy places the organism in Eukaryota, Viridiplantae, Streptophyta, Magnoliopsida, Malvales, Malvaceae.